This 232-nucleotide long non-coding RNA is filed under the name Capsicum annuum. Its description in RNAcentral is "long non-coding RNA (CANN_LNC004976)". The record is from RNAcentral. Lineage: Eukaryota; Viridiplantae; Streptophyta; Magnoliopsida; Solanales; Solanaceae.
GCAGGUGUUAGAGUGUAAGGUUGCUAUGCUGAAUAAUGAUAUGGACAUAUCUAGACUGGUGGGUUAUAUGAAACAUAUGGAGGGUGAAAAAAAGAAGCAGGUAGAGAUGGGAGAGAGGCAGAAUAAGAAGGUUAGAUAAUCAAAGUAGGUUGCGAAUCAGCAGAACAGUGAAAGAGAUGGUAGGAAGUGGACUAAGAAAAAGGAUUAGGAAAUUCUUAUUCGUCAGCCAGUG